CGCGUGAGUAACCUGCCUUGGAGUGGGGAAUAACACAGUGAAAACUGUGCUAAUACCGCAUAAUGCAUUUGGGUCGCAUGAUUCUGAAUGCCAAAGAUUUAUCGCUCUGAGAUGGACUCGCGUCUGGUUAGCUAGUUGGCGGGGUAACGGCCCACCAAGGCGACGAUCAGUAGCCGGACUGAGAGGUUGGCCGGCCACAUUGGGACUGAGACACGGCCCAG
Molecule: ribosomal RNA, 221 nt
Filed under: uncultured bacterium
Lineage: Bacteria
Description: partial 16S ribosomal RNA
Rfam family: Bacterial small subunit ribosomal RNA
Source: RNAcentral